Molecule: non-coding RNA, 136 nt
Organism: Hordeum vulgare subsp. vulgare (domesticated barley)
Lineage: Eukaryota; Viridiplantae; Streptophyta; Magnoliopsida; Poales; Poaceae
Source: Rfam
AUAAUACUCCCUCCAUCCUAAAAUUCUUGUUUUAAAUUUAUCUACAUAUGAAUGUAUCUAGUCAUGUUUUAGUAUUUACAUGCAUUCAUUUAUAGACAAACAUAAGACAAGAAUUUUGGAACGGAGGGAGUACUAG